AUGGCUCAGGAUUAACGCUGGCGGCGUGCCUAAUACAUGCAAGUCGGAUGGUUAGCUUGCUAACCAUGGGCGAACGGGUGAGUAACACGUAGGCAACCUGUCUAAAAGACGAGGAUAACCAUUGGAAACGAUGGAUAAUACUGGAUAGGAUUAUUUAGGGCAUCCUAGAUAAUUUAAAGAUUUAUCACUUUUAGAGGGGCCUGCGGCGCAUUAGCUAGUUGGUAGAGGUAAAGGCCUACCAAGGCGAUGAUGCGUAGCCGGACUGAGAGGUUGAACGGCCACAAUGGGACUGAGAACGGCCCAUACUCCUACGGGAGGCAGCAGUAGGGAAUUUUCGGCAAUGGGCGGAAGCCUGACCGAAGCAACGCCGCGUGAACGAAGAAGUAUUUCGGUAUGUAAAGUUCUUUUAUUUGGGAAGAAAAGACAGAUUGACUGUACCAAAUGAAUAAGCUCCGGCUAACUACGUGCCAGCCGCUGC
This 478-nucleotide ribosomal RNA is filed under the name uncultured bacterium. RNAcentral describes it as "bacterial SSU rRNA". It matches the Rfam family "Bacterial small subunit ribosomal RNA", at positions 19 to 518 of the family's 1533-position model. The record is from RNAcentral.